AACCUGCCCACUGAGGAUUUAAAUGGCCGCGGUAUUUUGACCGUGCAAAGGUAGCAUAAUAAUUAGUUUUUUAAUUGAAAGCUGGUAUGAAAGGUUGGAUGAGAAAAUAACUGUCUCUAUUUAGAUUAAUUAAAAUUUUAUUUUUAAGUAAAAAAGCUUAAAUAUAAAUAGAAGACGAGAAGACCCUAUAGAGUUUUAAUUUAGUUGGGGUGAUUGAAAAAUUUAAUAAACUUUUUUUAUAUUUAACCAUUAAUUUAUGAAUAAUUGAUCCUUAAAUUAAGAUUAAAAGAAUAAAUUACCUUAGGGAUAACAGCGUAAUUUUUUUAAAGAGUUCUAAUCGAAAAAAAAGAUUGCGACCUCGAUGUUGGAUUAAAAUAAAAUUUUGGUGUAGAAGCUAA
This 398-nucleotide ribosomal RNA is filed under the name Rhyncogonus testudineus. RNAcentral's name for it is "partial 16S ribosomal RNA". It matches the Rfam family "Archaeal large subunit ribosomal RNA", at positions 1948 to 2634 of the family's 2987-position model. The record is from RNAcentral. Lineage: Eukaryota; Metazoa; Arthropoda; Insecta; Coleoptera; Curculionidae.